CCUGAUCAAGACUCCUCUCUCAACCUCCCAGAGAGUUCCUCCAAGUUGGACCUCACUGUCUGGACCAGUGAUCUGACUCAAGAUAAGGCAGCUGACUCUGUUCCUAUGUAAACAAGUGGCAGUAUGCUCACCUCUCACUGUAUUUAUUGAGCCAAAGAGGGAAAUAUGAGGGAGGGAAAAUCACUGCCAAUUUUCAACAUGGGUGGUCAGCAUCCACACUCUGGAUGACGGGCAACUUACCACAGACAGAACUUGAACUAUGGCAAAAUCCGUUCCAGAGGACCAUUAUUUUUGGUUUCAGGUCAACCCAGUUUAUUAGAUUACUUGCCGCAAACUUGUCAUCAGCUUAGAGAGAAUGUGCAACUUUCUUUGAACCCGGAGGCUUGGGCCCUCGCAGAAGAUGCUUGAGCACCAAGGUGGAACAACCACAAUCCAAACAAGAAUAGGUGUUGGAAGCAGCUUGGGGGCCUUCUGUCUGCCAACUAGGAACACCUACCUCAGGAAGUGGGGGAAAGGACACAGUGGUGUUAUGGGGGUAGGUCAAAAUGAAGAAAAUGUGGACCCACUAAAUCUGCCGCCCUCUCAGCCCCUGAUCCUGUCCCUAGGACAGGAUGAGAUUGAAGACCUGCAGGACAAAGCUAACUUCUUUCAUCCAUUGCCUACAGUACAAUUUGUUUUGAGGUAAGCCUGUUAACUUUUUUUUUGGUGGAAGCCCCGAAAAAAAAUUACAGUACUCUGCCAAAAUACUGAUAGAAAGAAAGAAAAGCAGAGAAGCUUAGGUGUUUGGAAGAUGCCUGACCUCAAGCCAUAUAAAUGUUCAGUAGAGUUUUGGAGUGAAAUUAGUUUUGCAGAAAUAAUCCAUAAACUCGUCAAAUACUUGUUCCACCUGAAUGGAAUGGUGCAUUCUAAAGUUAAGUGAGGUGCCUGCUUAGAAAUAAAAUGAAGAUGGCCAGAAAAUACUACA
This 964-nucleotide long non-coding RNA is filed under the name Pogona vitticeps (central bearded dragon). RNAcentral describes it as "lncRNA (ENSPVIG00000025599.1)". The record is from RNAcentral. Lineage: Eukaryota; Metazoa; Chordata; Lepidosauria; Squamata; Agamidae.